RNAcentral lists this ribosomal RNA (1238 nucleotides) under Clostridioides difficile. Its description in RNAcentral is "partial 23S ribosomal RNA". It matches the Rfam family "Bacterial large subunit ribosomal RNA", at positions 1456 to 2703 of the family's 2925-position model. Lineage: Bacteria; Bacillati; Bacillota; Clostridia; Peptostreptococcales; Peptostreptococcaceae. The record is from RNAcentral.
UUUGAGAGAAGGGAUGACACAGUAGGAUAAGCUAAGCACACUGUUGGUUAUGUGUGCCCAAGCAUUGAGGCAGUCAAAGUAGGCAAAUCCGCUUUGAUAAUGCUGGGAUGUGAUGGGGAGCGAAAUUUAGUAGCGAAGUAGCUGAUUUCACACUGUCAAGAAAAGUCUCUAUCGAGGUUAAAGGUACCCGUACCGCAAACCGACACAGGUGGGUGAGGAGAGUAUCCUAAGGCCAGCGAGAGAACUGUUGUUAAGGAACUCGGCAAAAUGACCCCGUAACUUAGGGAUAAGGGGUGCCACCAUCAGGUGGCCGCAGAGAAUAGGCCCAAGCGACUGUUUACCAAAAACAUAGGUUUCUGCUAAGUCGCAAGACGAUGUAUAGGAGCUGACGCCUGCCCGGUGCUGGAAGGUUAAGGGGAUCUGUUAGAGCAAUCGAAGCAGUGAACUUAAGCCCCAGUAAACGGCGGCCGUAACUAUAACGGUCCUAAGGUAGCGAAAUUCCUUGUCGGGUAAGUUCCGACCCGCACGAAAGGCGUAACGAUUUGGGCACUGUCUCAACAACAGACUCGGUGAAAUUGUAAUUCCGGUGAAGAUGCCGGAUACCUGCGACAGGACGGAAAGACCCCAUGGAGCUUUACUGUAGCUUGACAUUGGGUCUUGGUACUACAUGUACAGGAUAGGUGGGAGGCUUUGAAACCAGGACGCCAGUUUUGGCGGAGCCAUCCUUGGGAUACCACCCUUGUAGUACUGGGACUCUAACCAUAGGCCAUGAAUCUGGUCUUGGGACACUGUCAGGUGGGCAGUUUGACUGGGGCGGUCGCCUCCCAAAAGGUAACGGAGGCGCUCAAAGGUUCUCUCAGUACGGUCGGAAAUCGUACGUAGAGUGUAAAGGCAAAAGAGAGCUUGAUUGCAAGACAUACAGGUCGAGCAAGGAUGAAAAUCGGACUUAGUGAUCCGGUGGUUCUGCGUGGAAGGGCCAUCGCUCAACGGAUAAAAGCUACCCUGGGGAUAACAGGCUUAUCUCCCCCAAGAGUCCACAUCGACGGGGAGGUUUGGCACCUCGAUGUCGGCUCAUCACAUCCUGGGGCUGUAGUAGGUCCCAAGGGUUGGGCUGUUCGCCCAUUAAAGUGGUACGCGAGCUGGGUUCAGAACGUCGUGAGACAGUUCGGUCCCUAUCCGUCGCAGGCGUAGGAAAUUUGAGAAGACCUGUCCUUAGUACGAGAGGACCGGGAUGGACG